UACAGAGGUCCCAAGCGUUGUUCGGAUUCACUGGGCGUAAAGGGUGCGUAGGCGGUCGGGUAAGUCUGGCGUGAAAUCUCCAAGCCUAAUUUGGAAACUGCGUUGGAUACUAUCCGGCUCGAGGAAUGGAGGGGAGACUGGAAUACUUGGUGUAGCAGUGAAAUGCGUAGAUAUCAAGUGGAACACCAGUGGCGAAGGCGAGUCUCUGGACAUUUCCUGACGCUGAGGCACGAAAGCCAGGGGAGCAAACGGG
RNAcentral lists this ribosomal RNA (253 nucleotides) under uncultured bacterium. RNAcentral describes it as "partial 16S ribosomal RNA". It matches the Rfam family "Bacterial small subunit ribosomal RNA", at positions 524 to 776 of the family's 1533-position model. The record is from RNAcentral.